CGUAGGGUGCAAGCGUUGUCCGGAAUUAUUGGGCGUAAAGAGCUCGUAGGCGGUUUGUCGCGUCUGCUGUGAAACCCCGAGGCUCAACCUCGGGCCUGCAGUGGGUACGGGCAGACUAGAGUGCGGUAGGGGAGAUUGGAAUUCCUGGUGUAGCGGUGGAAUGCGCAGAUAUCAGGAGGAACACCGAUGGCGAAGGCAGAUCUCUGGGCCGUAACUGACGCUGAGGAGCGAAAGCAUGGGGAGCGAACAGGAUUAGAUACCCUGGUAGUCCAUGCCGUAAACGUUGGGAACUAGAUGUAGGGACCAUUCCACGGUUUCUGCGUCGCAGCUAACGCAUUAAGUUCCCCGCCUGGGGAGUACGGCCGCAAGGCUA
RNAcentral lists this ribosomal RNA (373 nucleotides) under uncultured organism. RNAcentral describes it as "bacterial SSU rRNA". It matches the Rfam family "Bacterial small subunit ribosomal RNA", at positions 526 to 896 of the family's 1533-position model. The record is from RNAcentral.